CUCCUGAAGAAAUCUCUUCCCUCUAACAAAACAAAGUCUAUUCUCAGUUACUCAGACACGCAUCAUCGAAGGCUCUAAAUUUCUCUAUUCUAGCAGAGUCAAUAAAAAGAUGAAAAUCAAGCCAGGUGACUUUUCGUAUAACUAUCCCUUCCACAACAUGACUUUCCCUGUCAUUGUUUUGAUAUAGUGUGUGUUUCGGCAUGAGAAAUUAAAUGGGAACUUUUGAGGAGUUUUGCAGAAGCUACAGAUGAUUCGAAGAGACCAGCAGGCCAUCCAGAAAAAAGUAUGGAAACUCAGAAAUGCAUAAAAUAUAGGACACAUCCCAUCUACAAAGCAUUGAGCAAAGCCCACUUGACCUUCAGCUGUCCGAGACAUCCUGAAGGCCCUGGAAGGAGGAGAACAUUAGUAUCUUCAAUCAGCAACAGUGUCUGGGGUUAUCAGGACCCAUCUGGGUCAGCCAGACAAACACCGCGUUGAGUGAAGGAGCUUUAGAGGAGUUUAAGCCCCUCCUUGUCCUGAGAUCAGGGCAGGAUUUGGAAAGUGAUCCUUCUGUACUUUUAGUUUUUAAAAAUAGCCAGUGUUUUGUGCUUAUCGGGGCAAACUAAAAAAUAAUAAUGAUAAUAAUUCUUAAUUAGAAAAAGUUUAAGUAAAUUUAAAAAAUAAAAUUUUGCUCAUUGCUGAAAAUCGGCUACUA
Molecule: long non-coding RNA, 694 nt
Filed under: Monodelphis domestica (gray short-tailed opossum)
Lineage: Eukaryota; Metazoa; Chordata; Mammalia; Didelphimorphia; Didelphidae
Description: lncRNA (ENSMODG00000040179.1)
Source: RNAcentral